RNAcentral lists this non-coding RNA (21 nucleotides) under Caenorhabditis elegans. The record is from RNAcentral. Lineage: Eukaryota; Metazoa; Nematoda; Chromadorea; Rhabditida; Rhabditidae.
UUCAAUGGCCAUUGUUUUUUC